GUACUGUGCUAAAUAUUUUAAGUGAAUGAUUUUUAUGAAUCCUCAUGGUAGCCUUGUCAGUAUGCACUGUAAUACCCUCAUCCCGUGGAAGACAUGCUUCUUCUUGGUGUGGUUAGGUCAACACUGCCAAGGUCAAGCAGUGAGAUGAACCCGGUACCUCAGAUGGAAAUGCAGAAAUCACCCGUCUUCUGCGUCGCUCACGCUGGGAGCUGUAGACCGGAGCUGUUCCUAUUCGGCCAUCUUGGCUCCUCCUGUAACAAUUUCUUGAGUUCUAGGAAGUCAGCAUGAAUCGGCUUUAUGUUCCCUGCCUCCAGACCCUAUUCUCCUGCCUCACAGGGAGUGACCUUACAGAAAGGCAUUUUUUUUUUUUUAAUUGGAAGUUUCUUUCAAACUCUGCCUGCUUUUAGAUGGCUCCUCUUGGAACUAUGCCUCAACAUCUCUCCUGAUACUUGGAUGUUUUUCCUCUGACUGAUGAAGAUCCUGAAUACCAAAGAGGGCCGCUGACAGGCCCAGGAGUAUACUUCUAGCACCUAGCAGAGAGAGGCUUCACUACAUCAUGCUUCCUGACAUCUCUCCCUUUGAAGAGCAGUCAGACUCCUGCUUUGCUCUUCAGACUUAAUUUGGGGGUUUAACAGCCAUGUGAAGUGCUCACUCCCCCUUUGCCUUCUGCCAUGAUUGUAAGUUUCCUGAGGCCUCCCCAGAAGCUGAGCAGAUGCUUCCUGUACAGCCUGCAGAACUGGAUAGCCCAGAGCUAUUCCAUGGAUGGGCACAUUUGGAAGUUUGGUUCUAAAAUCUAAAAGAAGAAAUUUAAGUGUGCUGAAGAUAACUGCAACUCCAAACCUAACGCUGUGUAGUUCUAUGUUCUGCCAUCUUGAAGCAAAGUGGAACCAGAAGUGAGAGGUUUGAAUGAGAGAGGGAGAAGCACAUUUCCAAUCAUUGGGGGAACCUGAGACCAUUCUCUCCAACCCAUUUUGCCAAAUGGAUGUCCUGAGGAAGGUGUUCCAAGAGAGGUGAUGUCAGGUUAGUGUCUGAUUGGAGGGUGCCCAAGGCACAUGGGAGAAUGUGGAAGAACUGGAAAGACUUGGGUGUUGCUGAUGUUAAAUUACUUAGGUAUCUCUGUAGAAACUUGGUGGGUCAUUCCUUCUCUUCACAAUCCCUUUCUUAAAUUUAUGAUAAACAUGAAAGGUAAUCAAAACAAAAGCGGGCAAAAUGGGAAAAGAAGUUCCCACUUUAACUUUUUCUGGAUAUUUAAAGGUCUACUGGGGCAAAUGUGAUGAAAAUUAAAAAAAAUAAAAAACAUUGCAGAUCAUCAG
This is a long non-coding RNA of Gorilla gorilla gorilla (western lowland gorilla), 1313 nucleotides long. RefSeq lists it as uncharacterized. The record is from RefSeq and is a predicted model, not a curated record. The transcript has 7 exons. NCBI's taxonomy places the organism in Eukaryota, Metazoa, Chordata, Mammalia, Primates, Hominidae.